Molecule: long non-coding RNA, 246 nt
Organism: Octopus sinensis (East Asian common octopus)
Lineage: Eukaryota; Metazoa; Mollusca; Cephalopoda; Octopoda; Octopodidae
Exons: 3
Source: RefSeq, a predicted model, not a curated record
GAUCUGCACUUUCACCAUAACAUACCUUUAUUAUUGUCACACUACCUUCUGCGCAUGUGUGCUUAUAGUUGGUGCUAUUGUGGUCAUGUGAUUGAAGUUUGAACCUGGUCACACCAUUUUUCUUUAUGGCUUUACAGUGUAAGUAUGGCCACUCCAUUGGCAUUAAUGUGCACCAAAGAAGAACAAAGAGCAGUGAUCCAAUUUCUCUGGUCAGAAGGUGUGUCAGGUGUUGGAAUUCAAAGUCAG